RNAcentral lists this long non-coding RNA (1691 nucleotides) under Mus spicilegus (steppe mouse). RNAcentral's name for it is "lncRNA (ENSMSIG00000010841.1)". The record is from RNAcentral. Lineage: Eukaryota; Metazoa; Chordata; Mammalia; Rodentia; Muridae.
GAACAGUUUGCAGUAGCUCUAGACCUAAGACAGACACAUGUGCAGGACACAGCCACGGUAAAGGCUGCAGAACUUGCCGGCCAAUGGGUAGAUGAGGCUGAACCAAUACAUUCUGGGUCUGCAUGUGGAAGAAUGAGGCUUGCAGCCAACGGCCGUCCACCUCUCUGAUGAGGAUCAGGUUGAAGAUUCCACAAGAGAUAGAGAGUUACCAAGGCUGCUGAAACAGCUGGGCUUAAGGAGAGCCUGGGAGAGCCCCAGGAAGGAGCAUCCAGGCCAGGUCUCAUGUCCUCAGAGGUUUGAGAGUAAGAAGAGCUUGUGUUUGUCUUCCUAUCUGCAUGCCUGUUUUAGCAAGUUCUGUCACCCAGAACUGGAGAACAUUCCUGCAUUUCAGACUCUAUUUCCUUUCUUCCAUCAUACCCUGAUUCUGAGGGUCCCUGGCCCAGCUCUGUGGUUUGUGUCUCACAGAGCCUGGAGAUACUUGCCAGGUUGUGUCUACAGGGCCUCACUUAUUGAGAUGAUCAUAGCCCCUUGGUUGUGGGUUCCCCCCCUUUCCUCUUCAGACAGACAUCCUGGUUUGGGGGAGUCUGAGGCUUUGUUGCUACAAGUCAAGGUAGGUCUGUGCUGCUCUGAGGGAAGCCUGAAGGCCUGGCAGAGCCUUGGAUGCACAAUGAGUACCAGAGGCAUCAGAUGAUGUCUCUAAAAAUAGGGAUGGGACCCCACCCUUGAGAGCACAUAAUAGGCUAACAUCCAGAGCUGGUAGCCACACUGAAAAUGCCUGGCUAGAAGGCAGUGUUGAGGAGGGAGAAAGAUCAAGGCUCGAGACUUCUGAGCUGAAAUAGACAAUUCCACAUUUGGGGUCAUAGGAGGUCAGGGCUGGGGGUGGGAGAUGAAUCGGGAGCUGAGAUCGGGUCCACAAUGGCCUGUAUUCUCCCUUGUUGCAUUUGUGGUACGAAAUCAGAGAAUCCUUGAAAUGAACGUGUCUUAGAAGACAGCAGCUCUCUCAAUUGGUAUUCUACAACAUCUCUGAGUUCAUGAGAGUGUCUCAGGGUGAGUGCUGUCCUGUGAGACACUGGGGACAUUAUUAGACUGAAAAUUGCUCAUGCUUAACCUGAAGUUAAACAAAUCCAAAUGUGAGGCCUUUAGGUGGAACAGCCAUUUAAAAUCCAAAGCCUGUGUUAAAUCAUGCAUUAAAAAGGGGAUUUCCAAGGUAGAGCUGACGGGGACUGCAGGUGCAAAGUCCUCACAGAAGAUGUGGUCAGGCAUUCUCUACUCUAGUUGAUGGCUGCAGUUUGGUGCUGAGCCUGUGCUUCUGUGCUUAUGAAGACACGACCCUGGGAAUGAAUGUGUCUUAGAAGACAGCAGCUCUCAAUCGGUAUUCUACCGAGCUGGGUGUACUGCAGACACAUCAUGCUGCCUGAGGCAUGUUUGGGAUAGCUUAACACAAGCUGUCAGCAUAGUUCUUAGGAAGUGGUUGUGCGGAGACUCAAAUCUAAAGAGUUCUCAUCGGAUCAUUUAUUAUUUAUAGUCAUUUUGAACGUUAGAGCGUUAGGUACGCUCACAUUACUGUUCAUGCAAUCUAGUACUGAAAUUUCACGAUCAUUAAACAGAAAUUCCGUAUUUCCUCUUCCCCUCAGCUCUGCCUUCAACCCCUGAAAACACAACUUUUUGUCUAUUAGUUUAACUUCUCUAGG